Molecule: ribosomal RNA, 550 nt
Filed under: uncultured bacterium
Lineage: Bacteria
Description: bacterial SSU rRNA
Rfam family: Bacterial small subunit ribosomal RNA
Source: RNAcentral
UAGGGAAUCUUCGGCAAUGGACGGAAGUCUGACCGAGCAACGCCGCGUGAGUGAAGAAGGUUUUCGGAUCGUAAAGCUCUGUUGUAAGAGAAGAACGAGUGUGAGAGUGGAAAGUUCACACUGUGACGGUAUCUUACCAGAAAGGGACGGCUAACUACGUGCCAGCAGCCGCAGUAAUACGUAGGUCCCGAGCGUUGUCCGGAUUUAUUGGGCGUAAAGCGAGCGCAGGCGGUUAGAUAAGUCUGAAGUUAAAGGCUGUGGCUUAACCAUAGUACGCUUUGGAAACUGUUUAACUUGAGUGCAAGAGGGGAGAGUGGAACUCCAUGUGUAGCGGUGAAAUGCGUAGAUAUAUGGAGGAACACCGGUGGCGAAAGCGGCUCUCUGGCUUGUAACUGACGCUGAGGCUCGAAAGCGUGGGGAGCAAACAGGAUUAGAUACCCUGGUAGUCCACGCCGUAAACGAUGAGUGCUAGGUGUUAGACCCUUUCCGGGGUUUAGUGCCGUAGCUAACGCAUUAAGCACUCCGCCUGGGGAGUACGACCGCAAGGUUG